RNAcentral lists this ribosomal RNA (425 nucleotides) under bacterium. Its description in RNAcentral is "bacterial SSU rRNA". It matches the Rfam family "Bacterial small subunit ribosomal RNA", at positions 354 to 776 of the family's 1533-position model. The record is from RNAcentral. RNAcentral also lists the same sequence under 1 other name.
GUGAGGAAUAUUGGUCAAUGGGCGAGAGCCUGAACCAGCCAAGUAGCGUGCAGGAUGACGGCCCUAUGGGUUGUAAACUGCUUUUAUAAGGGAAUAAAGUGAGAGUCGUGACUCUUUUUGCAUGUACCUUAUGAAUAAGGACCGGCUAAUUCCGUGCCAGCAGCCGCGGUAAUACGGAAGGUCCGGGCGUUAUCCGGAUUUAUUGGGUUUAAAGGGAGCGUAGGCCGGAGAUUAAGCGUGUUGUGAAAUGUAGACGCUCAACGUCUGCACUGCAGCGCGAACUGGUUUCCUUGAGUACGCACAAAGUGGGCGGAAUUCGUGGUGUAGCGGUGAAAUGCUUAGAUAUCACGAAGAACUCCGAUUGCGAAGGCAGCUCACUGGAGCGCAACUGACGCUGAAGCUCGAAAGUGCGGGUAUCGAACAGG